CUUCUUCCCCAAGCAAUGGCUGAGCAAAUCUCUUAAUAACAGAGCAACUACUCGCAGAUUAUUGUGAUCAUAAUUUGGCUGACAUAGCCUUUAUUACUAAUGGCAAUGCUGGAAAUGGAAAACCCAGCUUGAUGCUCAGCUCCCUGCUGGAAAGUAAUAAAAUAAAGAGGAACAAAAUCAGUGAGUGUAUUUGCUACCAAACCUUUGAAAAACACAAAAGUGGAACCCUGCCAAUGCUGUUGCUGGCGGUUUUUCAGACCAGAGCCUCUCUCCAAGCUUUUGGAGCGCCGCUACCAUCAGCUGCUCUAACACCAGCAUGAAGUGUGAAGGUACCAUCUCUCUUCACAGUGGCUCUGCAGAUAGCAGUGCUGCCCAUUUGUAUGACC
This 386-nucleotide long non-coding RNA is filed under the name Gallus gallus (chicken). The record is from RNAcentral. Lineage: Eukaryota; Metazoa; Chordata; Aves; Galliformes; Phasianidae.